Molecule: long non-coding RNA, 370 nt
Filed under: Nicotiana benthamiana
Lineage: Eukaryota; Viridiplantae; Streptophyta; Magnoliopsida; Solanales; Solanaceae
Description: long non-coding RNA (NBEN_LNC003175)
Source: RNAcentral
UGGAAAACACUUUAUCCAUGCAGUAGCAUAAAUAUAUCAUAGAACAAACGUCAAAUAGCUUAGAUUUCAGAGAAAAACUAGAAACGGGAAAGGCGUGGAAGAAAGUCUGAUCCUGAGUCGGAGAGGUCAGAAAAGGCUCAUAAUGCUUGAAUAUGCCGGAGAAAAGGCCGAAGACGCCAUAGAACCAUAGAUUUGAGAAGAUCUGAAAGAGAACCAUCGAGGUUAGACCUCAAGACUUUGAACACCCAUGGUCUAAUGGUGGAGGGGGUGUGUACAGGCCAUCCAUGGCCUGAAAAGCCAUGGAUUCCGGUAAAAGACGGUUGAAAAGGGAUAUAAGAAGGCCAAGGUUCCGAAGAACCUUCGAGAGAGA